CCACGGGUGGCAGCAGUAGGGAAUAUUGCUCAAUGGGGGAAACCCUGAAGCAGCAACGCCGCGUGGAGGAUGAAGGUUUUAGGAUUGUAAACUCCUUUUGUUAGAGAAGAUUAUGACGGUAUCUAACGAAUAAGCAUCGGCUAACUCGGUGCCAGCAGCGGCGGUAAUACGGAGGGUGCAAGCGUUACUCGGAAUCACUGGGCGUAAAGCGUGCGUAGGCGGGGUAAUAAGUCAGAUGUGAAAUCCUGUAGCUUAACUACAGAACUGCAUUUGAAACUGUUAGUCUGGAGUGUAGGAGAGGUAGGUGGAAUUCGUGGUGUAGGGGUAAAAUCCGUAGAGAUCAAGAAGAAUACUCAUUGCGAAGGCGACCUGCUGGAACAUUACUGACGCUGAUGCACGAAAGCGUGGGGAGCAAACAGGAUUAGAUACCCCUGUAGUC
This 439-nucleotide ribosomal RNA is filed under the name uncultured bacterium. RNAcentral describes it as "partial 16S ribosomal RNA". It matches the Rfam family "Bacterial small subunit ribosomal RNA", at positions 339 to 795 of the family's 1533-position model. The record is from RNAcentral.